AGGAAUACAUCGGAAUCUACUCUGUCGUGGGGGAGUAACGUAGGGAAACUUACGCUAAUACCGCAUACGACCUACGGGUGAAGCAGGGGAUCUUCGGACCUUGCGCGAUUGAAUGAGCCGAUGUCGGAUUAGCUAGUUGGCGGGGUAAUGGCUCACCAAGGCGACGAUCCGUAACUGGUCUGAGAGGAUGAUCAGUCACACUGGAACUGAGACACGGUCCAGACUCCUACGGGAGGCAGCAGCG
This 244-nucleotide ribosomal RNA is filed under the name uncultured Stenotrophomonas sp. Its description in RNAcentral is "partial 16S ribosomal RNA". It matches the Rfam family "Bacterial small subunit ribosomal RNA", at positions 109 to 356 of the family's 1533-position model. Lineage: Bacteria; Pseudomonadati; Pseudomonadota; Gammaproteobacteria; Lysobacterales; Lysobacteraceae. The record is from RNAcentral.